AUACGUAGGUGACAAGCGUUAUCCGGAUUUACUGGGCGUAAAGGGCGUGUAGGCGGUCUUGCAAGUCAGAAGUGAAAUUCCUGAGCUCAACUCGGGCGCUGCUUCUGAAACUGCAGGACUUGAGUGCUGGAGGGGAUAGCGGAAUUCCUAGUGGAGCGGUAAAAUGCGCAGAUAUUAGGAAGAACACCGGUGGCGAAGGCGGCUAUCGGGAGAGUAACUUACACUCAGGCGCGAAAGCGUGGGGAGCAAACAGGAUUAGAUACCCUGUUAGUCCACGCCGUAAACGAUGAAUACUAUGUGUAGGGGGUAUCGACUCCCUCUGUGCCGCAGUUAACACAAUAAGUAUUCCGCCUGGGGAGUACGGCCGCAAGGUUGAAACUCAAAUGAAUUGACGGGG
RNAcentral lists this ribosomal RNA (397 nucleotides) under uncultured bacterium. RNAcentral's name for it is "partial 16S ribosomal RNA". It matches the Rfam family "Bacterial small subunit ribosomal RNA", at positions 523 to 918 of the family's 1533-position model. The record is from RNAcentral.